This 460-nucleotide ribosomal RNA is filed under the name uncultured bacterium. RNAcentral describes it as "bacterial SSU rRNA". It matches the Rfam family "Bacterial small subunit ribosomal RNA", at positions 29 to 506 of the family's 1533-position model. The record is from RNAcentral.
ACGAACGCUGGCGGCGUGCUUAACACAUGCAAGUCGAGCGGUAAGGCCUUUCGGGGUACACGAGCGGCGAACGGGUGAGUAACACGUGGGUGAUCUGCCCUGCACUCUGGGAUAAGCCUGGGAAACUGGGUCUAAUACCGGAUAUGACCUUCUCUCGCAUGGUUUUUGGUGGAAAGAUUUAUCGGUGCAGGAUGGGCCCGUGGCCUAUCAGCUUGUUGGUGGGGUAAUGGCCUACCAAGGCGACGACGGGUAGCCGGCCUGAGAGGGUGACCGGCCACACUGGGACUGAGACACGGCCCAGACUCCGACGGGAGGCAGCAGUGGGGAAUAUUGCACAAUGGGCGGAAGCCUGAUGCAGCGACGCCGCGUGGGGGAUGAAGGCCUUCGGGUUGUAAACGGCUUUCAGCAGGGACGAAGCGUGAGUGACGGUACCUGCAGAAGAAGCACCGGCUAACUACGU